GUAUGUGAUGAGGCCUUCUUUGUGAGACAGGGUGAAAGCUCAGGAACUCCUGACACCAGCCUUCCCGUAGGCUUCUAAUACAGGGGCCUCUUACUGUCCCCCACUGAUCACAGGCUAUUAACUCUGCCUUCCCUUGCUGCCUCCUCUAAAGGGAAGACUUGUCCAGCACCCACUUAAUCACCUCCCCACUUGUUCCAUGUUGUCCAGUCUGGGCGGGCUCUGUUAGACCCAUCUGGUCAGGCUCUGUGUCUCUUGCUCAGAUCCUCAUCAUGGGACAGUUCUGUUAAAUUCAACUUCUCAGUGUUGGUUCUUCCUGUGGUGCUAGGAAGUAUACAAGCUGUCGCCCUGCGGGACAUUUUUGUUCAGGCCCAAAAUCGAGACAGCUCACCACCUUCUCUGCAGAUAGAAGAGCCAGAAUGGGAAAAGCGAAGAUCCAUCAACCUGUCUGAGCUCAUUGAUGUUUACAGUGAUGGUGUUGAGCUACUCCAGAUGGUGAAGGCACCAGAUUCCAACUGCAGCAACCUUCUGAUUACAACCA
This 538-nucleotide small RNA is filed under the name Pongo abelii (Sumatran orangutan). Its description in RNAcentral is "retained intron". The record is from RNAcentral. Lineage: Eukaryota; Metazoa; Chordata; Mammalia; Primates; Hominidae.